UUUUUGAAUUAAUAUAAAGUCUAAUCUGCCCCCUGAUAAAUUAUUAAAGGGCUGCAGUAUUUUGACUGUACAAAGGUAGCAUAAUCAUUUGUCUCUUAAUUGGUGACUUGUAUGAAAGAUUGGAUGAAAUAUGAACUGUCUCAUUAUAAUAAGUAAAAUUUAAUUUUUUAGUAAAAAAGCUAAAAUAAUUUUAAAAGACGAGAAGACCCUAUAGAGUUUAAUAAUUAUUUUUAUAUAAGAAAAAAUAUAAAAAUUUAAAUUUAAAUAAAAGUAGUUAUUUUGUUGGGGUGAUAGAAAAAUUAAAUUAACUUUUUUUAAUAGAUAUACAUUAAUAAGUGAUUAAAUGAUCCAUUAAUAAUGAUUAGAAGAAAAAAUUACCUUAGGGAUAACAGCGUAAUUUUUUUUUUUAGGUCAAAUAAGAAAAAGAGUUUGCGACCUCGAUGUUGGAUUAAGAUAAAAUUUAAAUGUAAAAGUUUAAAGUUUUGAUCUGUUCGAUCAUUAAAA
Molecule: ribosomal RNA, 504 nt
Filed under: Troides criton criton
Lineage: Eukaryota; Metazoa; Arthropoda; Insecta; Lepidoptera; Papilionidae
Description: partial 16S ribosomal RNA
Rfam family: Bacterial large subunit ribosomal RNA
Source: RNAcentral